UGUUUCAGAUGGUAAAGAAUCUGCCUGCAAAGCAGGAGACCCAGGUUCUAAUCCUGG
RNAcentral lists this transfer RNA (57 nucleotides) under Bos taurus (domestic cattle). It matches the Rfam family "tRNA", at positions 8 to 63 of the family's 71-position model. Rfam says of the family: Transfer RNA (tRNA) molecules are approximately 80 nucleotides in length. Their secondary structure includes four short double-helical elements and three loops (D, anti-codon, and T loops). RNAcentral also lists the same sequence under 4 other names. Lineage: Eukaryota; Metazoa; Chordata; Mammalia; Artiodactyla; Bovidae. The record is from Rfam by way of RNAcentral.